GUCACUUGCCUGUGUUCCUUGUUAGGGCCUACCACCGGGUAGGUGCUUGGAAUGUGCUGUGGAUUAAAGGCUUAAAUCCUGCGGGCCCCUCAAUCUGAUCUAAGGACAUGAGUGGCUUAGAGAACGGCGCAACAAGGCUAAGCGAAAGAAAACAAAGCGGUGUGGCUGGGAGUGGGCUCCUUCCCUCCGCUGGUGAGGGUGCGAUCUUAGACUCUUGAGAGAACCCGACAUAAAGGCCGCGUUCCAAUGGCGGCCUUCUCCCCUACCGGCCAACCUGCCCCGAAAAGAGCAGAAGGCACCCUGCGGGAUCUGCAGAUCAGCUUGCGUCUCAUUCUGGGGCACCGACACGGUGGAAUGCAAGACACCCCACUACCGGAAGUUUCUUUGAUGUUAAGAAAAACGGCGG
RNAcentral lists this long non-coding RNA (406 nucleotides) under Homo sapiens (human). RNAcentral describes it as "HSALNT0329582". The record is from RNAcentral. Lineage: Eukaryota; Metazoa; Chordata; Mammalia; Primates; Hominidae.